CCAGGGCCUCAUCCUGUUCCUCGCGCUGCCUCCUCCGAGACACCAGCCCUCUGGCGGAGGGGCGGCGGGGGCAGCGAGCUCGGGUCGAGUCGGGGACUCCGGCGGCGCGCGCGGGCGGUGGGGGGAAGGAGGGGCAGGGACGUGAGGGGCUUCCCCCACCCCGGCCGCUGGCAACACGCCGCGCACGGCCGGCACCCGCUGCGCUCCCGCGGCUCUGACGAACCUUCCCAACUCGGGGACUGCGCCCCAGGGACCCUGGCCUGGGCGGGCCAGCGGGACUGGCUUCCCCCGCUCCAGCCUUCCCGUGCCGGGGACGGAGACGCAGAAGCUGGGGACCUGCUCACCCCCAAACAAAGGGUCCCUGCCAAGACCCCGUCCCGGGUCCCCCCGGGUUCUCCCCUCCCCCAGCUCCAGGGAUUUGAACGCAAACAAAGCGGCGGCGCGGGGAGCGUGGCGAGCCCGGCCUGCGGACGCCCCCUGUCGGCCCAGAGCCCCGGCGCGGGAGGGUGGGGGGCGGGGGCUGCGCCCCAGCCCAGCCCCGCAAAACGCCCCCGGCCCCAUCUCGGCUCCUUACCCGAGGAUCGGGCUGCACCCCGCGGCGUGCUCCGAGGAUCCGCCCGGCAGCGGUGCGCCCACCCGCAGCUCCCCCAGGGCGAGCAAACGGGCAGCCAGGGGGAGGGGGCUGGGAGGAGGGGUGCUGGCUCCAGGCGGGGCGCCCCACACCCUCGCCCACCCCGAGCGGCCAGACGUGGACCGCGGCGCUCCCUGCAGGGCGAGCGCUCCAGCCGGGGACAGCGCGGCCCGGCUCGGCCCGGGGGCCUGGCUUUCCGGGACAACCCGCCUCCCCAGCGGAACGGGCGGGCGGGCGGGCGGGGGGCCGCGGCAGGGAAAUCCGAUCCCACAACAUCGGCCUCGCUCCAAGCCCGCCCCAAACUUUCCAUCGGGGGUGGGAGCGCCGAGGGCAGUCCAGGAGCCUGGCGAGGAUCCCGGCCGCGGACCGGACCGCGCGAGGAGCCCUCACUGCCCGUAGCCCCUCGCUGGCGCGUCCCUCCGGCCCCGGGGCUGCAGGCUGUAGGCGCUGUGCGUCCCGCUCCCGGGACCCUGCGAAGCGGCCGCGCGGGGCGCAGGAAGGAUCCCCGCGGACAGGAGUCUCCGCCGCCGCGGCUCCCCGCGCCCCAGCCCCUGUCCCUCCCGCAUCCGGCAGCCCCUGCCCACGCAAGGGGACAAAGCGGCGGCUCCGGGGCCCCGCAGCUCCAGCCUCUCGCAAGCCCGGCCUCGCUCACCUCUCGCACGCAGCUCCAGUCCCCGGGCGCCGCCCUCGCGUUCGGCUCCGACCGCCGUCCGCCCCUGCCCCGCGUCGCCGCCUGCCCGCGCGCGCCCGCCAGUCCUCCGCGGCCCCUCUGCCACCGCCCCUCCGUCCCCGCCCGGCUCCGCGCCCCUGGGCUCGGGCUCCCCGCGCCACCACGGCGGGCGCCGGCUCUUUCUCCAGCGCGGCCGCGGCUCUCCGCCCCCUUCCCCUUGACGUCAGGCUGGGGGGGUCGAGCGGAGGCCGGGGGCGGGCCGCGAAGCCUCGCUCGGGAGGGGGCUGCGACCCGCAGCGACCUGUGGACCCGCCCGCUCUCCGCCCGGGGGCUCGGACCUCCGCCCCUCCGGGUGCCCGGACCUCAGCCCUGCCGGGUGUCCGGCCGCCCCGGGGCUCGGAGUCGCGGGCUGCGCCACAGCGCCCGGAGGGAGGUGGGGCGGGGGAGGGACUCCGGGUCUGGCCACGGGGGACUCUCACUCACCCGGUGUUUCCGAAGUGUCCCCCGAAGACCCCCGGCGGGCUGGGCUGGGGAGAGGGACUCCCGACCCUGCAGUUGCAGGAACGACCGCGGGCGAGCCACGUCGAGGCGAGUAUCCGGGGGAGGCACGUGGGGAAACCGAGGCGUCUCUUGGGGCGGACCAGAGGGGUCUGCCUUUUGGCCCCCGAUUCUGCCUCCUUCUAGGCCCCGAGGACCACUGGUCCCUGCCCUCAAGUCUGGAAAGGGCUUCACCAGCGAGGAAGACUCUUCAAUCUACAGUAGGGGUCUGCUCCUGCUUCUCACGCUUUGGGCAAAGCGUCUCUCCCCAGAAAAUGACUCCUGGUGCCACUGGAAGGCUGAUUAA
Molecule: long non-coding RNA, 2145 nt
Filed under: Papio anubis (olive baboon)
Lineage: Eukaryota; Metazoa; Chordata; Mammalia; Primates; Cercopithecidae
Description: lncRNA (ENSPANG00000043350.1)
Source: RNAcentral